RNAcentral lists this ribosomal RNA (237 nucleotides) under uncultured bacterium. RNAcentral describes it as "partial 16S ribosomal RNA". It matches the Rfam family "Bacterial small subunit ribosomal RNA", at positions 15 to 235 of the family's 1533-position model. The record is from RNAcentral.
GAUCCUGGCUCAGGACGAACGCUGGCGGCGUGCUUAACACAUGCAAGUCGAACGAGAAUCUACUGAAGGAGUUUUCGGACAACGGAAGCAGAGGAAAGUGGCGGACGGGUGAGUAACGCGUGAGGAACCUGCCUUGAAGAGGGGGACAACAGUUGGAAACGACUGCUAAUACCGCAUGACGCAUAGAGGUCGCAUGAUCUUUAUGCCAAAGAUUUAUCGCUUCAAGAUGGCCUCGCG